GAAGUCUUAGUGGCGCAGCUAACGCACUAAGUUGACCGCCUGGGGAGUACGGCCGCAAGGUUAAAACUCAAAUGAAUUGACGGGGGCCCGCACAAGCGGUGGAGCAUGUGGUUUAAUUCGACGCAACGCGAAGAACCUUACCUGGCCUUGACAUCCAGAGAACUUUCCAGAGAUGGAUUGGUGCCUUCGGGAACUCUGAGACAGGUGCUGCAUGGCCGUCGUCAGCUCGUGUCGUGAGAUGUUGGGUUAAGUCCCGUAACGAGCGCAACCCCUAUCCCUGGUUGCUAGCAGGUAAUGCUGAGAACUCCAGGGAGACUGCCGGUGACAAACCGGAGGAAGGUGGGGAUGACGUCAGGUCAUCAUGGCCCUUACGGCCAGGGCUACACACGUGCUACAAUGGCGCGUACAGAGGGCUGCCAACUCGCGAGAGUGAGCCAAUCCCUUAAAACGCGUCGUAGUCCGGAUCGGAGUCUGCAACUCGACUCCGUGAAGUCGGAAUCGCUAGUAAUCGCGAAUCAGAAUGUCGCGGUGAAUACGUUCCCGGGCCUUGUACACACCGCCCGUCACACCAUGGGAGUGGAUUGCACCAGAAGUAGUUAGUCUAACCUUCGGGAGGACGAUUACCACGGUGUGGUUCAUGACUGGGGUGAAGUCGUAACAAGGUAGCCGU
This 670-nucleotide ribosomal RNA is filed under the name uncultured Marinobacter sp. RNAcentral describes it as "bacterial SSU rRNA". It matches the Rfam family "Bacterial small subunit ribosomal RNA", at positions 834 to 1503 of the family's 1533-position model. Lineage: Bacteria; Pseudomonadati; Pseudomonadota; Gammaproteobacteria; Pseudomonadales; Marinobacteraceae. The record is from RNAcentral.